GAUGAACGCUAGCUACAGGCUUAACACAUGCAAGUCGAGGGGAAACGGCAUUAAGUGCUUGCACUUUUUGGACGUCGACCGGCGCACGGGUGAGUAACGCGUAUCCAACCUUCCCAUGACUAAGGGAUAACCUGCCGAAAGGCAGACUAAUACCUUAUGGUCUUCACUGACGGCAUCAGAUGUGAAGUAAAGAUUUAUCGGUUAUGGAUGGGGAUGCGUCUGAUUAGCUUGUUGGCGGGGUAACGGCCCACCAAGGCAACGAUCAGUAGGGGUUCUGAGAGGAAGGUCCCCCACAUUGGAACUGAGACACGGUCCAAACUCCUACGGGAGGCAGCAGUGAGGAAUAUUGGUCAAUGGGCGAGAGCCUGAACCAGCCAAGUAGCGUGCAGGAUGACGGCCCUAUGGGUUGUAAACUGCUUUUGUAUGGCGAUAAAGUCAAUCACGUGUGAUUGUUUGCAGGUACCAUACGAAUAAGGACCGGCUAAUUCCGUG
Molecule: ribosomal RNA, 492 nt
Filed under: uncultured bacterium
Lineage: Bacteria
Description: partial 16S ribosomal RNA
Rfam family: Bacterial small subunit ribosomal RNA
Source: RNAcentral